UGGGGAAUAUUGCGCAAUGGGGGGAACCCUGACGCAGCCAUGCCGCGUGAAUGAAGAAGGCCUUAGGGUUGUAAAGUUCUUUCGGUAUUGAGGAAGGUUGAUGUGUUAAUAGCACAUCAAAUUGACGUUAAAUACAGAAGAAGCACCGGCUAACUCCGUGCCAGCAGCCGCGGUAAUACGGAGGGUGCGAGCGUUAAUCGGAAUAACUGGGCGCAAAGGGCACGCAGGCGGUUAUUUAAGUGAGGUGUGAAAGCCCCGGGCUUAACCUGGGAAUUGCAUUUCAGACUGGGUAACUAGAGUACUUUAGGGAGGGGUAGAAUUCCACGUGUAGCGGUGAAAUGCGUAGAGAUGUGGAGGAAUACCGAAGGCGAAGGCAGCCCCUUGGGAAUGUACUGACGCUCAUGUGCGAAAGCGUGGGGAGCAAACAGGAUUAGAUACCCUGGUAGUCCACGCUGUAAACGCUGUCGAUUUGGGGGUUGGGGUUUAACUCUGGCGCCCGUAGCUAACGUGAUAAAUCGACCGCCUGGGGAGUACGGCCGCAAGGUUA
RNAcentral lists this ribosomal RNA (547 nucleotides) under uncultured bacterium. RNAcentral's name for it is "bacterial SSU rRNA". It matches the Rfam family "Bacterial small subunit ribosomal RNA", at positions 355 to 896 of the family's 1533-position model. The record is from RNAcentral.